RNAcentral lists this ribosomal RNA (537 nucleotides) under uncultured bacterium. RNAcentral describes it as "bacterial SSU rRNA". It matches the Rfam family "Bacterial small subunit ribosomal RNA", at positions 355 to 896 of the family's 1533-position model. The record is from RNAcentral.
UAGGGAAUAUUGGGCAAUGGGCGGAAGCCUGACCCAGCCACGCCGCGUGCAGGAAGACGGCCCUCUGGGUUGUAAACUGCUUUUAACUGGGAAGAAAAGAGGCUUUGCGAAGCAAGUUGACGGUACCAGUUGAAUAAGCCACGGCUAACUACGUGCCAGCAGCCGCGGUAAUACGUAGGUGGCGAGCGUUAUCCGGAUUUAUUGGGUUUAAAGGGAGCGUAGGCGGCUGAUUAAGUCAGCGGUGAAAGGUAGCAGCUUAACUGUUUUACAUGCCGUUGAUACUGGUUAGCUUGAGUUGACAGAAGGCAGAUAGAAUUCCUGAUGUAGCGGUGAAAUGCUUAGAUAUCAGGAGGAAUACCGAUUGCGAAGGCAGUCUGCUGCAGUCACACUGACGCUGAGGCUCGAAGGUGCGGGGAUCAAACAGGAUUAGAUACCCUGGUAGUCCGCACAGUAAACGAUGAUUACUAGAUGUUGGCCAAGCCAGUGUCCAAGGGAAACCGAUAAGUAAUCCACCUGGGGAGUACGCCGGCAACGGUG